UAGAGUUUGAUUCCUGGCUCAGAUUGAACGCUGGCGGCAUGCCUAACACAUGCAAGUCGCACGCGAAAGGGGGCAACCCCGAGUAGAGUGGCGGACGGGUGCGUAAUGCUUGGGAAUCUACCUCGUAGUGGGGGACAACCCGGCGAAAGCCGGGCUAAUACCGCAUACGAUCUACGGAUGAAAGCGGGGGACCGCAAGGCCUCGCGCUAUGAGAUGAGCCCAAGUCCUAUCAGCUAGUUGGUGAGGUAACGGCUCACCAAGGCAACGACGGGUAGCUGGUCUGAGAGGACGACCAGCCACACUGGGACUGAGACACGGCCCAGACUCCUACGGGAGGCAGCAGUGGGGAAUAUUGGACAAUGGGGGCAACCCUGAUCCAGCAAUGCCGCGUGUGUGAAGAAGGCCUUCGGGUUGUAAAGCACUUUCGAUGGGGACAAACAAGUUCGACCUAAUACGUCGGACUCUGAUGUACCCAGAGAAGAGCACCG
RNAcentral lists this ribosomal RNA (488 nucleotides) under uncultured bacterium. Its description in RNAcentral is "bacterial SSU rRNA". It matches the Rfam family "Bacterial small subunit ribosomal RNA", at positions 1 to 495 of the family's 1533-position model. The record is from RNAcentral.